RNAcentral lists this long non-coding RNA (1460 nucleotides) under Phascolarctos cinereus (koala). RNAcentral describes it as "lncRNA (ENSPCIG00000036815.1)". Lineage: Eukaryota; Metazoa; Chordata; Mammalia; Diprotodontia; Phascolarctidae. The record is from RNAcentral.
GGGAGGUCAACUGUGCAAAGACCAGGGAAGGUUACACAGAAAAGUUAGAAAACAAUAUGCCACAAGGCCCAAGAAUAUAGUGAUUAGGUUUUCAGAGUCUAGAAUAGGGCAAACAGUCUCUCUACUACCUUCAAGUGAAUACUAAAGAAAUGGACAACAGGAGAGGCAGGGAAGAGGCAAAAUAUGUAAGGGACUGAAAAUAUGGCUAAAGGUUAACUCAGAUGAGAGAGAAAAGUUAACACGGAUAACUAAAACUCACCAAGAAUGCCCUACCCUCCUCCCAAUCAUUUCAGCCAAUAGUUCCAAUCUUCAUUUUCAUUAACCUUUUUACUGGGAACUGCUAAGAAGCUGACACUGACAGUUUCAGUUUCAUCUACUUUACCUCUCUCACUGCCCAACUCUACUUUAUGGCAGUGAAAAAAGCAGUGCAAUGGCCAAGCAGAAAGAAGGGGCCUUGAUGAUUCCCCAACUGUACAAUUAGGCCACCGAGACUUGACUAUUUUAAUCUCUAAUCUACAAGAGGAAAAAAACAUUAUUUCCUCAAUUUAAAAUGAAACCAAAACAAAAGACUUUCAAUGAAUAACCUCUAAUUGCUUCAUCAUUUCAUAUGUAUUAAGCAUCAACAAUGUGCUACUAAAAGAGAAGUCUUAUAUGCAGAUUCCUCAGUGUCAAAACAGGAAUGAGAGCUCAGAUGGCCUGACUCGUAGUUCCUGUUCUAACCAUUACGCCACACUCUUUGUGUUUAGACAGAAAGGAAAGCACUUUAUAUCAGGGGAAAACCCAAUUCAUAAGUGUCAUGAUUCAUAACCAUCAGAACCUCGUUCCUAGAGGAGACAGGCUGGCCCCCCUUCUGAAACCGGUCACCUAGAGCUGCAUCCAGCUGUACUAUACAGAGCGUUUGCAAUAUUCAGACUAAUGACUUCAAAAGGUGUAGCCUUUUGUUGGCGGGGAGGUGAUCCCACAACGAGCAACUGCAAUGGCAGCAGUGAUCAACUAACAACAGUCUACAAAGCCCACUUGGACCCCUGGAUUUGGACUUUUUUCUUGGUGUCCCAGCAGCAUCCCUGGAACAUCUGACAGCAGUGCCUGCCUACAUGAGGAGCCAAGGACAGAUUGGAUCUGAUAAGGAAAGCAGAUUAUAAGCUCUACAUAGAAGAGCCCAACAGAAAAGCUAAUGCCAUAUGACAGAAGGGGAGCAUCUUGAGUCUACCAACAGGACUUCCAGGAACUCUGAGUUAACCCUUUGCCACAUAUGCUUUCUGAGCUUGAGCCCCACUUCCUCCUGGACUCUGUAUGUACCUGUCAGGACAAUAUGCCAUAGACUUUGGGGGGACGUUUAAUACCAACUGUAUCAACUAUACCACCUUUGUAAAUACCCCUAAUUAAAAUGUAAUUACAUCAGGCCAAUUAGUUGUCAGUCAAAUAGUGGAAAUGAAUAAUAAAAUUUAUUGGAAUAGACA